AUUGAACGCUGGCGGCAGGCCUAACACAUGCAAGUCGAACGGUAACAGGAAGAAGCUUGCUUCUUUGCUGACGAGUGGCGGACGGGUGAGUAAUGUCUGGGAAACUGCCUGAUGGAGGGGGAUAACUACUGGAAACGGUAGCUAAUACCGCAUAACGUCGCAAGACCAAAGAGGGGGACCUUCGGGCCUCUUGCCAUCGGAUGUGCCCAGAUGGGAUUAGCUAGUAGGUGGGGUAACGGCUCACCUAGGCGACGAUCCCUAGCUGGUCUGAGAGGAUGGCCAGCCACACUGGAACUGAGACACGGUCCAGACUCCUACGGGAGGCAGCAGUGGGGAAUAUUGCACAAUGGGCGCAAGCCUGAUGCAGCCAUGCCGCGUGUAUGAAGAAGGCCUUCGGGUUGUAAAGUACUUUCAGCGGGGAGGAAGGGAGUAAAGUUAAUACCUUUACUCAUUGACGUUACCCGAAGAAGAAGCACCGGCUAACUCCGUG
RNAcentral lists this ribosomal RNA (490 nucleotides) under uncultured bacterium. RNAcentral's name for it is "partial 16S ribosomal RNA". It matches the Rfam family "Bacterial small subunit ribosomal RNA", at positions 30 to 507 of the family's 1533-position model. The record is from RNAcentral.